Molecule: ribosomal RNA, 497 nt
Filed under: uncultured bacterium
Lineage: Bacteria
Description: partial 16S ribosomal RNA
Rfam family: Bacterial small subunit ribosomal RNA
Source: RNAcentral
GAUGAACGCUGGCGGCGUGCCUAAUACAUGCAAGUCGAGCGAACAGAUGAGGAUCUUGCUCCUCUGACGUUAGCGGCGGACGGGUGAGUAACACGCGGAUAACCUACCCAUAAGACUGGGAUAACUUCGGGAAACCGGAGCUAAUACCGGAUAAUAUAUUUAACCGCAUGGUUCCAUAAUUAAUGAAGGUUUUGCUGUCACUGAUAGAUGGAUCCGCGCCGCAUUAGCUAGUUGGUAAGGUAACGGCUUACCAAUGCAACGAUGCGUAGCCGACCUGAGAGGGUGGUAGGCCAAACUGGAACUGAGACACGAUCCAGACUCCUACGGUAGGCAGCAGUAGGGAAUCUUCCGCAAUGGGCGAAAGCCUGACGGAGCAACGCCGCGUGAGUGAUGAAGGUCUUCGGAUCUUAAAACUCUGUUAUUAGGGAAGAACAAAUGUGUAAGUAACUAUGCACGUCUUGACGGUACCUAAUCAGAAAGCCACGGCUAACUACGUG